This 425-nucleotide ribosomal RNA is filed under the name uncultured bacterium. RNAcentral describes it as "bacterial SSU rRNA". It matches the Rfam family "Bacterial small subunit ribosomal RNA", at positions 354 to 796 of the family's 1533-position model. The record is from RNAcentral.
GUGGGGAAUCUUAGACAAUGGGGGAAACCCUGAUCUAGCCAUGCCGCGUGAGCGAUGAAGGCCUUAGGGUUGUAAAGCUCUUUCAGUAGGGAAGAUAAUGACGGUACCUACAGAAGAAGCCCCGGCUAACUUCGUGCCAGCAGCCGCGGUAAUACGAAGGGGGCUAGCGUUGUUCGGAUUUACUGGGCGUAAAGCGCACGUAGGCGGAUUGGUCAGUUAGAGGUGAAAUCCUGGAGCUCAACUCCAGAACUGCCUUUAAUACUGCCAGUCUAGAGUCCAGAAGAGGUGAGUGGAACUCCUAGUGUAGAGGUGGAAUUCGUAGAUAUUAGGAAGAACACCAGUGGCGAAGGCGGCUCACUGGUCUGGUACUGACGCUGAGGUGCGAAAGCGUGGGGAGCAAACAGGAUUAGAUACCCCGGUAGUCC